Non-coding RNA from Pelobates cultripes (western spadefoot toad), 322 nucleotides. The record is from the annotation of a GenBank genome assembly. Lineage: Eukaryota; Metazoa; Chordata; Amphibia; Anura; Pelobatidae.
CAGCUUUGGGUAUAUUAAGUUCUACAAAUCCAACCAAAUCUGUUUUUGUUUUUUGACUUCCGACGUGUUGCCCUAUUUCUAUCCUUGUUUGUUAAUGUACCUACAAUAUUCAUUCAUGAUGAGGAGCCCAAAGGCCACAGGUUUAAAUCGUUUCGGGUGUUAGUCAUUUAUUCUUCAGAGGUCAAUUAAAUGAACUCUGAACUUGUUGGGUAAAAGUAGUAUAAUGUUUUGAUUGCCCAGGCAAACCUUUCUAAAUACUGGGUUAUUAUUACAAAGAUAGAUGUCAUGCAUUUUGUAUAGCUCUCAUUUACUAUAUUCGUGC